RNAcentral lists this ribosomal RNA (603 nucleotides) under uncultured bacterium. Its description in RNAcentral is "partial 16S ribosomal RNA". It matches the Rfam family "Bacterial small subunit ribosomal RNA", at positions 54 to 656 of the family's 1533-position model. The record is from RNAcentral.
CAUGCAGUCGAGGGGCAGCACGUCUUCGGAUGGUGGCGACCGGCGCACGGNNNNNNNACGCGUAUACNAUCUACCUUUUACAGGGGCAUAGCCCGGGGAAACCCGGAUUAAUAUCCCAUGGUAUCAUUUAGUGGCAUCACUUGAAUGAUUAAAGUUUCGGCGGUAAAAGAUGAGUAUGCGUCCUAUUAGCUAGAUGGUAAGGUAACGGCUUACCAUGGCAGUGAUAGGUAGGGGUCCUGAGAGGGAGAUCCCCCACACUGGUACUGAGACACGGACCAGACUCCUACGGGAGGCAGCAGUGAGGAAUAUUGGGCAAUGGGCGAGAGCCUGAUCCAGCCAUGCCGCGUGCAGGAAGACUGCCCUAUGGGUUGUAAACUGCUUUUAUACGGGAAGAAACACUCCUUCGUGAAGGAGCUUGACGGUACCGUACGAAUAAGGAUCGGCUAACUCCGUGCCAGCAGCCGCGGUAAUACGGAGGAUCCAAGCGUUAUCCGGAAUCAUUGGGUUUAAAGGGUCCGUANGCGGGAUAAUAAGUCAGUGGUGAAAGUCUGCAGCUCANCUGUANAACUGNCAUUGAAACUGUUGUCCNUGAGUANUNAUGAA